GAUGAGGUGGCCGAGUGGUUAAGGCGAUGGACUGCUAAUCCAUUGUCCCUGCACGCGUGGGUUCGAAUCCCAUCCUCGUCG
This 81-nucleotide transfer RNA is filed under the name Danio rerio (zebrafish). Its description in RNAcentral is "tRNA-Ser (GCT) (tRNA-Ser-GCT-170-1)". It matches the Rfam family "tRNA". Rfam says of the family: Transfer RNA (tRNA) molecules are approximately 80 nucleotides in length. Lineage: Eukaryota; Metazoa; Chordata; Actinopteri; Cypriniformes; Danionidae. The record is from Rfam by way of RNAcentral.